UCCGAAUUGGUGUAGUGGCUAACAUAUGUCGCUCUCAACUUCGAUAUCCUUACCUUGACUUGAAAUAAAGUACCGACAUGCCCGGGGUUCGAUUCCCCGAUUCGGAG
Molecule: non-coding RNA, 107 nt
Organism: Astrocystis sublimbata
Lineage: Eukaryota; Fungi; Ascomycota; Sordariomycetes; Xylariales; Xylariaceae
Source: the annotation of a GenBank genome assembly